GCUGCCGUAGCUCAGUGGUAGAGCACUCCCUUGGUAAGGGAGUAACCGGAGUGGCACCA
RNAcentral lists this transfer RNA (59 nucleotides) under Pseudaminobacter salicylatoxidans. It matches the Rfam family "tRNA". From Rfam's summary of the family: Transfer RNA (tRNA) molecules are approximately 80 nucleotides in length. Their secondary structure includes four short double-helical elements and three loops (D, anti-codon, and T loops). Further hydrogen bonds mediate the characteristic L-shaped molecular structure. tRNAs have two regions of fundamental functional importance: the anti-codon, which is responsible for specific mRNA codon recognition, and the 3' end, to which the tRNAs corresponding amino acid is attached (by aminoacyl-tRNA synthetases). tRNAs cope with the degeneracy of the genetic code in two manners: having more than one tRNA (with a specific anti-codon) for a particular amino acid; and 'wobble' base-pairing, i.e. permitting non-standard base-pairing at the 3rd anti-codon position. The record is from Rfam by way of RNAcentral. Lineage: Bacteria; Pseudomonadati; Pseudomonadota; Alphaproteobacteria; Hyphomicrobiales; Phyllobacteriaceae.